Molecule: ribosomal RNA, 371 nt
Filed under: uncultured organism
Description: bacterial SSU rRNA
Rfam family: Bacterial small subunit ribosomal RNA
Source: RNAcentral
CAGAGGGUGCGAGCGUUAAUCGGAAUUACUGGGCGUAAAGCGUGCGUAGACGGCUAUCUAAGUCGGGUGUGAAAGCCCCGGGCUCGACCUGGGAAUUGCAUUCGAGACUGAAUAGCUAGGGUACGGUAGAGGGAAGUGGAAUUUCCGGUGUAGCGGUGAAAUGCGUAGAUAUCGGAAGGAACAUCAGUGGCGAAAGCGACUUCCUGGACCAGUACCGACGUUCAGGCACGAAAGCGUGGGGAGCAAACAGGAUUAGAUACCCUGGUAGUCCACGCCAUAAACGAUGAGGACUAGACGUUGGAAGGGUAAGCCUUUCAGUGUCGUAGCUAACGCGCUAAGUCCUCCGCCUGGGGAGUACGGCCGCAAGGUUG